This 1957-nucleotide long non-coding RNA is filed under the name Selaginella moellendorffii. RNAcentral describes it as "long non-coding RNA (SMOE_LNC001160)". The record is from RNAcentral. Lineage: Eukaryota; Viridiplantae; Streptophyta; Lycopodiopsida; Selaginellales; Selaginellaceae.
UGAACUUUGCUACAGUUCCAUCAGGUUUGUACUUGACUGUGUAAAUCCAUUUCGAGCUCACAAGGUGAGCACCUUCAGGUAAGGUCUUUGUCAUUGUAUUGUGUCACUCAUGCGGAUGCAUUUCAGCAUUCAUGGCUUCUCGCCACUGGGCAGCAUGAGGUCCAGCUAAUGCCUCGUCAACAUUCGCUGGAAUGGGGAUUUGCCCUGGAUUAGCAGCCAUGAAGUUAGCCUGGUGCGUUCCUUUCUUUUUAAUUUUUCCAAAACUAAAGAAGGGACGAGAUUGCUCAGCUUUCAGUUGCAGCCUCGAUGGUACUGGAACUCUAGCAGAGCGCUGAGGUUCAGGACGUGCUGGAGGGUGGAUCACUGGUGGUGGAACAAGUGGAGAAUCUGGGAGAGCUCCCACUGAAGUUGGCGACUGCUUCCAGCUCCCACUGAAGGUGAUGAUCCACGUCCAGCUCCCACUGAAGAUGAGCUGAGGAAGAACUCAGGAGCAGCUUGAAAUUCCUCGUCGCCCUCGAAGUAAGUGUUCAUCAGCUUUUCAGAGGUUCUCACUGGAGGAGCUUCUGGCAGAGGCAUAGCUGGAGGGCGUGGUGGCAGUGUUGGAGGAACCACCACGUUACCACCAGCAGAAGCAAGAGGCAGCAACGGGACUUGAGAAAGAGCUGUAGUCACGUGAACUGUGUCUACCAGCUGGAGUUCCACGAAAGUAGGAGCAGGAACUUCAGCUCGAUCCUUGUACAGCUUGCUCUCAUCAAAGAGCACAUCCCGUCUUUCCAGCAAAGUCUUGCGCUUGAGAGAAUAAAGGCGAUAUCCUUCCAUGCCUUCCAAAUAUCCCAGGAAAAUGGACGGCUCAGCCUUUGACUCCAGCUUCUGGCGUUGCUUGUGUGGAAAGUGUGCGUAGGCAAAACAGCCAGAAAUGCGGAGACGAUCGUAACCAGGUGCGUGACCAGUCCAAAGCUCAUUAAGGAGUGGUCUUCCCAGGCAGGUGACGUGUUGGCAACCGGUUUCGAACAUAAACAGCCAUGUUAACUGCCUCACCCCAGAAAGCAGCUGCCAUUCCCGCAUGAAUCUAUAAUGGUGCGAUUCACCCUCUCGGCAGCACCAUUCUGGGCAUGUGCAUCAGGGAUAGCAAACUGGUGCUGGAUCCCAGCUUCUGCACAAAACGUCUCGAAUUCUCCAGAGACGAAUUCUCCUCCACAAUCGCAAUGAUUGCAGCGGAGCACAUGAGCUAAACAGCCGUGUAGAUUUUUUACCAAAGCCUUGUAUUGGGAGAAGCAGGAGAACACCUCUGACUUGUGAGCCAGCAGGUACACGAUCAGGUACCGCGUGUAAUCAUCCAGGAAGGUGACUACAUAACGUUUGCCUCCCAAAGAUUCAACCAUAAUCGAACAAACGUCCGAGUGUACCAACUCAAGAACGAGAAUGAAAAAUCUGUGGAAAAGGAAAAACGUGGUGUUUUCCACAAACACAAGCUUUGCAGAUGGGCAGCGUGCUCCCAGGCUCUCCCAGGCACUAGUCAAUUCAUUAGCCCUCAAAUCCGUCCCACGCACACAGCAAUGGUUUCACCCGUUUCCAUGUGAAGCGCCAAGAAUUGUUGAUUCAGCAACAUGGAAGAAUUUGUGGCUUGGGCCACGAAGAUCAUGCGAAGCGACGUCCCGAUUUCAGCAGCGGUGAGAUCAAUCAGCGGCAAGAAUUCAUCGCUCAAUCCUGAAGAGGUGUGGAUACUUCUCUUCGCUGGAAAUCUAUUGUUAGUAAGAAAACAAAAGAGAAAAGGGCUCAAUCUCCAAGGGCUGAGAAAAAGAAUGAUGCUAUGUAUUGAUAAAAAAAAUAAUGAAUGGAGAUAAGGAUUCACAAUUUGGAUUCCCCCCUUUGAAAGGCUGUUGUGAAGAGCCUGCCAGCAUAUGCUAUAUGCUGUGCAUGAUCUAAUCUAUGGCUUCGAUGCAGCCUUAGGUUCAAG